This 633-nucleotide long non-coding RNA is filed under the name Citrus sinensis (sweet orange). Its description in RNAcentral is "long non-coding RNA (CSIN_LNC000544)". Lineage: Eukaryota; Viridiplantae; Streptophyta; Magnoliopsida; Sapindales; Rutaceae. The record is from RNAcentral.
AAGAUAAAAUUAUACUUUUAUUGCUGUACUAGGGAUAUUCUAAACUAUAUUGCUGUAAUUAUGUGUGCCAUUUUCCAUUGAAUCACUGACAGGUGUUUUGCCUUUAGAAAAACUUUAAAUGCGAUGCUAACACAAAAACCUUGGUUAAUUUUCUGUUUCUGACAUUGUAAUUGAACCAAAUACAGAGGUUGCGAGCACUCGUGCACCUAGAAAUUACCAGUUACUGCUUUACUAGGGAUAUUCUAAACUAUUCUAAACUAAACUAUACAGAGUUGUCGUUUGAAAGAUAAAAUUAUACUUUUAUUGCUGUACUAGGGAUAUUCUAAACUAUAUUGCUGUAAUUAUGUGUGCCAUUUUCCAUUGAAUCACUGACAGGUGUUUUGCCUUUAGAAAAACUUUAAAUGCAAUGAUAACAUAAAAACCUUGGUUAAUUUUCUGUUUCUGACAUUGUAAUUGAACCAAAUACAGAGGUUGCGAGCACUCGUGCACCUAGAAAUUACCAGUUACUGCUUUACUAGGGAUAUUCUAAACUAUUCUAAACUAAACUAUACAGAGUUGUCGUUUGAAAGAUAAAAUUAUACUUUUAUUGCUGUACUAGGGAUAUUCUAAACUAUAUUGCUGUAAUUAUGUGUG